AUGGCAUACUCUCGGCCUUUGCGCCAUUGGCGCAACCAGUCAUCUAGUACAUAUAACAAAAGAGUUAACUUGAAGCACCCUAAUGACGCUGAUGAAUACUCUGGUGGUCACUUGGAUCCAUAUUUGCCGUACGGUGGUGACACUAAUAUACAAGAUAGCAGCUCUGAUGAGAAUUUGGACGCUGAGGAGAAGGAAGCUAGGCUGCAAGCUAAGGAGGAGGCUAGGGUAAAGCGUAUAUACGCGUGCCUUGAUGAUCCAACUUUUUUGGAGAAAAUGAGAAGGCGCUUCAAAGAUGAUCCGCGUGCCGAAGCUUUUUUUCAGCCCCAAAAAAGACAAGAUCCUCAGCAUGCAACACCAUUAGCGAACCAGCAGGGUGCAGUGCAAGACUGA
This 390-nucleotide ribosomal RNA is filed under the name Triticum aestivum (bread wheat). RNAcentral's name for it is "partial small subunit ribosomal RNA". Lineage: Eukaryota; Viridiplantae; Streptophyta; Magnoliopsida; Poales; Poaceae. The record is from RNAcentral.